This 1431-nucleotide ribosomal RNA is filed under the name Microbacterium arborescens. RNAcentral's name for it is "bacterial SSU rRNA". It matches the Rfam family "Bacterial small subunit ribosomal RNA". Lineage: Bacteria; Bacillati; Actinomycetota; Actinomycetes; Micrococcales; Microbacteriaceae. The record is from RNAcentral.
CGACCUUGGCGGGGUGCUUACACAUGCAAGUCGAACGGUGAAGCAGAGCUUGCUCUGUGGAUCAGUGGCGAACGGGUGAGUAACACGUGAGCAAUCUGCCCCUGACUCUGGGAUAAGCGCUGGAAACGGCGUCUAAUACCGGAUACGAGCUGCGACCGCAUGGUCAGUAGCUGGAAAGAAUUUCGGUCAGGGAUGAGCUCGCGGCCUAUCAGCUUGUUGGUGAGGUAAUGGCUCACCAAGGCGUCGACGGGUAGCCGGCCUGAGAGGGUGACCGGCCACACUGGGACUGAGACACGGCCCAGACUCCUACGGGAGGCAGCAGUGGGGAAUAUUGCACAAUGGGCGAAAGCCUGAUGCAGCAACGCCGCGUGAGGGAUGACGGCCUUCGGGUUGUAAACCUCUUUUAGCAGGGAAGAAGCGAAAGUGACGGUACCUGCAGAAAAAGCGCCGGCUAACUACGUGCCAGCAGCCGCGGUAAUACGUAGGGCGCAAGCGUUAUCCGGAAUUAUUGGGCGUAAAGAGCUCGUAGGCGGUCUGUCGCGUCUGCUGUGAAAACCCGAGGCUCAACCUCGGGCCUGCAGUGGGUACGGGCAGACUAGAGUGCGGUAGGGGAGAUUGGAAUUCCUGGUGUAGCGGUGGAAUGCGCAGAUAUCAGGAGGAACACCGAUGGCGAAGGCAGAUCUCUGGGCCGUAACUGACGCUGAGGAGCGAAAGGGUGGGGAGCAAACAGGCUUAGAUACCCUGGUAGUCCACCCCGUAAACGUUGGGAACUAGUUGUGGGGUCCAUUCCACGGAUUCCGUGACGCAGCUAACGCAUUAAGUUCCCCGCCUGGGGAGUACGGCCGCAAGGCUAAAACUCAAAGGAAUUGACGGGGACCCGCACAAGCGGCGGAGCAUGCGGAUUAAUUCGAUGCAACGCGAAGAACCUUACCAAGGCUUGACAUAUAGAGGAAACGUCUGGAAACAGUCGCCCCGCAAGGUCUCUAUACAGGUGGUGCAUGGUUGUCGUCAGCUCGUGUCGUGAGAUGUUGGGUUAAGUCCCGCAACGAGCGCAACCCUCGUUCUAUGUUGCCAGCACGUAAUGGUGGGAACUCAUGGGAUACUGCCGGGGUCAACUCGGAGGAAGGUGGGGAUGACGUCAAAUCAUCAUGCCCCUUAUGUCUUGGGCUUCACGCAUGCUACAAUGGCCGGUACAAAGGGCUGCAAUACCGUGAGGUGGAGCGAAUCCCAAAAAGCCGGUCCCAGUUCGGAUUGAGGUCUGCAACUCGACCUCAUGAAGUCGGAGUCGCUAGUAAUCGCAGAUCAGCAACGCUGCGGUGAAUACGUUCCCGGGUCUUGUACACACCGCCCGUCAAGUCAUGAAAGUCGGUAACACCUGAAGCCGGUGGCCCAACCCUUGUGGAGGGAGCCGUCGAAAGGUUGAUUCGGAUA